AAAUUGAAGAGUUUGAUCAUGGCUCAGAUUGAACGCUGGCGGCAGGCCUAACACAUGCAAGUCGAACGGUAACAGGAAGAAGCUUGCUUCUUCGCUGACGAGUGGCGGACGGGUGAGUAAUGUCUGGGAAACUGCCUGAUGGAGGGGGAUAACUACUGGAAACGGUAGCUAAUACCGCAUAACGUCGCAAGACCAAAGAGGGGGACCUU
RNAcentral lists this ribosomal RNA (209 nucleotides) under Escherichia coli. Its description in RNAcentral is "partial 16S ribosomal RNA". It matches the Rfam family "Bacterial small subunit ribosomal RNA", at positions 1 to 216 of the family's 1533-position model. Lineage: Bacteria; Pseudomonadati; Pseudomonadota; Gammaproteobacteria; Enterobacterales; Enterobacteriaceae. The record is from RNAcentral.